RNAcentral lists this long non-coding RNA (655 nucleotides) under Amborella trichopoda. RNAcentral's name for it is "long non-coding RNA (ATRI_LNC004034)". The record is from RNAcentral. Lineage: Eukaryota; Viridiplantae; Streptophyta; Magnoliopsida; Amborellales; Amborellaceae.
UAGAAUUUGCCCCUCUUUCUCUCUCCUUUCCGUGUUUAACUUCCAUUCUCUCUCCUCUCUCUCUAGAAUUUGUCCCUCUUUCUCUCUCCUUCCUGUGUGUUUAACUUUCAUUCUCUGUAAUGGCGGAUGCUGGUGGAGGAGGAGAAGAAGAGGAAUUUAAAAUAUAAAAUCAAGAGUGCAUUCGUUCCUCACCUUGCUGAAGAAGCAAUUGAGGAAUUCUCUGCAACUUCUAAUUUAUCCGAACUCGAACACAUUGUUGAUAAGUGGUUGGCUAUCUCAAGAGCGUAUAAAGAAGGAGAGAAGAGCAAGAGAGAGGACACUAAAGAGAAAAAUGAGUUAAGUGUUGUUGGGUUGGAGGGGAACUGAGUGGUAUGGUCUUUUGUGUUGCUUGGAGAUGAAGAAAUGAGAGUCAGAGUUUUCUUUUAUGUGAUAGAUGGUGUUUCAUGUUUCUUGCUUCUGUGUUAAUGGAGUUGUGAUGUUCCCCGUGGUGUCCGUGUUAUGGACUUGUUUUGUUCUCUGUUUGUUAUGUGUUGAUGGAGUUGUGAUGUUUUUUGCUUUAAACUCUCUUUAGAGUUGUCUGUGUUAAUGAAGUUGUUUGCUUUGUCUGUGUUAAUGGAGUUCUGCUGUUUUUUUGUUUUUAAACCCUCUAUGGAGU